RNAcentral lists this ribosomal RNA (468 nucleotides) under uncultured bacterium. Its description in RNAcentral is "partial 16S ribosomal RNA". It matches the Rfam family "Bacterial small subunit ribosomal RNA", at positions 28 to 507 of the family's 1533-position model. The record is from RNAcentral.
GAUGAACGCUGGCGGCGUGCCUAACACAUGCAAGUCGAACGGAAAGACCCUGCUCUUGUGGGGCUCUUGAUUGGCGAACGGGUGAGUAACACGUGAGUAUCCUGCCCUUGUCUUUGGGAUAACUUCAGGAAACAGGGGCUCUAAUCGGAUAUGAGCUCCUGCUGCAUGUUGUGGGUUGGAAAGUUUCGGCGGUUGUGUCUGGAUUGGCGGCUUAUCGGCUUGUUUGUGGGGUAGUGGCUUACAAAGGCUUUGACGGAUAGCCGGCAUGAGAGGGUGACCGGCGACAAUGGGACUGAGGGACGGACCAGACUCCAACGGGAGGCAGCAGGGGGGAGUAUUGCAGAGUGGGCGGAAGCCUGAGGCAGAAACGCCGCGUGCGGGAUGACGGCCUUCGGGUGGUAAACCGAUUUCGCCUGUGACGAGGCGGGAGUGACGGUAAUGGGUAAAGAAGCACCGGCUAACUACGUG